GACUUCGGAUUAUUGCGGUUUAGUAUCUAAGCUGAGGAAAGUCCAUGCUCGCACAAGCUGAAAUGCUUGUAGUGUUCGUGCUUAGCGAAACAAUAAGCUAAGGCAACUAUUAGUUGACGGCAGAAAAAAUGGCUAAGGCUUAGGCUAUGUCAAAGUAUUCUUGAAAGUGCCACAGUGACGAAGCAAUACUGGAAACAGAUUGGUGGAACGCGGUAAACCCCUCGAGCGAGCAACCCAAACGUAUGGUAGGGGCACUCUUUAUAGGAAUAACAACGAAAAAAGAGGUGUAUCAAUGAUACACAGACAGAUAAUAAUCGCUAUUUACUCUGCUCCUGACAGAUAAAUAGUACAGAACAUGGCUUAUAGAA
Molecule: RNase P RNA, 368 nt
Filed under: Granulicatella sp. zg-84
Lineage: Bacteria; Bacillati; Bacillota; Bacilli; Lactobacillales; Carnobacteriaceae
Also listed under: 2 other names
Description: RNase P RNA component class B
Rfam family: Bacterial RNase P class B
About the family: Ribonuclease P (RNase P) is a ubiquitous endoribonuclease, found in archaea, bacteria and eukarya as well as chloroplasts and mitochondria. Its best characterised activity is the generation of mature 5'-ends of tRNAs by cleaving the 5'-leader elements of precursor-tRNAs. Cellular RNase Ps are ribonucleoproteins.
Source: RNAcentral